This 384-nucleotide transfer-messenger RNA is filed under the name Clostridia bacterium. It matches the Rfam family "transfer-messenger RNA". From Rfam's summary of the family: Bacterial tmRNA, also known as 10Sa RNA or SsrA, is named for its dual tRNA and mRNA-like properties. Its role is to liberate the mRNA from a stalled ribosome. Lineage: Bacteria; Bacillati; Bacillota; Clostridia. The record is from RNAcentral.
GGGCGAGUUCCAGAUUCGAUUGCGGGCGGAGAAUGAGAAAAGCAUACCAAAGGUCCGGCUUUGUAAAAACGGAAACUUAAAUUUAAACGCAGAAUCUAACGAUUCCAAAGUCGUAGCUUUCCCCGCUCAGAGAGCGGCAAGCUUGGCUUGCGCAGCGUAACUUACGCUGUCCGUCGCUUUACGGUUUACCGUUGACCGUUUUGCGGCGUUAAUCUAACGGUAACUCUUUAACGCUUUUACCGCGGCGUUAAACCGUAUUUUGCGGUAUGCAUCCGUACACGCCCGUCCGUCGGCGUUUGCGGACUAAGAUAACGGCGGAAUAAGUAUGUAGAAAGCUCAAACUAAACUCGUAAGACUCGGGUGCAAGUCCCGACUCGUCCACCA